Molecule: ribosomal RNA, 451 nt
Filed under: uncultured bacterium
Lineage: Bacteria
Description: partial 16S ribosomal RNA
Rfam family: Bacterial small subunit ribosomal RNA
Source: RNAcentral
AACGAACGCUGGCGGCAGGCUUAACACAUGCAAGUCGAACGGGCGUAGCAAUACGUCAGUGGCAGACGGGUGAGUAACACGUGGGAAUAUCCCUCUCAGUUCGGAAUAACUCAGGGAAACUUGAGCUAAUACCGGAUACGUCCUUCGGGAGAAAGAUUUAUCGCUGGGAGAUUAGCCCGCGUCUGAGUAGCUGGUUGGUGAGGUAAUGGCUCACCAAGGCGACGAUCAGUAGCUGGGCUGAGAGGAUGAUCAGCCAACCUGGGACCGAGACACGGCCCAGCCUCCUACGGGAGGCAGCAGUGGGGAAUAUUGGACAAUGGGGGCAACCCUGAUCCAGCCAUGCCGCGUGAGUGAUGAAGGCCUUAGGGUUGUAAAGCUCUUUUGCCAGGGAAGAUAAUGACUAUACCUGGAGAAUAAGCCCCGGCUAACUUCGUGCCAGCAGCCGCAGUAA